CGGGGUGCACCAGGCGCGAAAACUCCACAAUGUACGACAGUACGAUGGGGUUAUCUCGAGUGCAGUCCGAUAAGGGCUGCUUUUCCAUAGAGUAAUAUCCUGUGGGAAUAAGAGGGGGGCAAGACUGGUGUCAGCCGCCGCGGUAACACCAGCCCCUCGAGUGGUGGGGACUAUUAUUUGGUCUAAAGCGUCCGUAGCUGGCUGUAUCCGUCCCCCGUUAAAUCCAGCGUCCUAAGCGUUGGACUGCGGGUGAUACCAUACAGCUAGAGGGUGGGAUAGGUGAGCGGUAUUUCUGGGGUAGGGGCGAAAUCCUUUGAUCCCAGGAGGACCACCAGUGGCGAAGGCUGCUCACUAGAACACGCCUGACGGUCAGGGACGAAAGCUGGGGCAGCGAACCGGAUUAGAUACCCGGGUAGUCCCAGCUGUAAACGAUGCCAGCUAGGUGUUGGGUCGGCCACGCGCCGCCCCAGUGCCGCAGGGAAGCCGUUAAGCUGGCCACCUGGGGAGUACGGCCGCAAGGCUGAAACUUAAAGGAAUUGGCG
RNAcentral lists this ribosomal RNA (542 nucleotides) under uncultured archaeon. RNAcentral describes it as "bacterial SSU rRNA". It matches the Rfam family "Archaeal small subunit ribosomal RNA", at positions 326 to 870 of the family's 1478-position model. The record is from RNAcentral.